This 465-nucleotide ribosomal RNA is filed under the name uncultured bacterium. Its description in RNAcentral is "partial 16S ribosomal RNA". It matches the Rfam family "Bacterial small subunit ribosomal RNA", at positions 28 to 507 of the family's 1533-position model. The record is from RNAcentral.
GACGAACGCUGGCGGCGUGCUUAACACAUGCAAGUCGUACGGUAAGGCCCUUUCGGGGGUACACGAGUGGCGAACGGGUGAGUAACACGUGAGUAACCUGCCCACAACUUUGGGAUAACGCUAGGAAACUGGUGCUGAUACUGGAUAUGUGCUCCUGCUGCAUGGUGGGGGUUGGAAAGCUCCGGCGGUUGUGGAUGGACUCGCGGCCUAUCAGCUUGUUGGUGGGGUAGUGGCCUACCAAGGCGGCGACGGGUAGCCGGCCUGAGAGGGUGACCGGCCACAUUGGGACUGAGAUACGGCCCAGACUCCUACGGGAGGCAGCAGUGGGGAAUAUUGCACAAUGGGCGCAAGCCUGAUGCAGCAACGCCGCGUGCGGGAUGACGGCCUUCGGGUUGUAAACCGCUUUCAGCAGGGACGAAGCUUUUUGUGACGGUACCUGCAGAAGAAGCACCGGCUAACUACGUG